UACGUAGGUGGCAAGCGUUACUCGGAAUCACUAGGCGUAAAGCGCGGGUAGGCGGUUCGGCAAGUCCGUCGUGAAAGCUCCUGGCUUAACCGGGAGAGGUCGGCGGAUACUACCGGACUUGAGUCUGGGAGGGGGUGUUGGAAUUCCCGGUGUAGCGGUGAAAUGCGUAGAGAUCGGGAGGAACACCAAUGGCGAAGGCAGACACCUGGACCAGUACUGACGCUGAGCCGCGAAAGCUAGGGUAGCAAACAGG
This 253-nucleotide unclassified non-coding RNA is filed under the name uncultured Elusimicrobia bacterium. Its description in RNAcentral is "contains 16S-23S intergenic spacer region". It matches the Rfam family "Bacterial small subunit ribosomal RNA", at positions 524 to 776 of the family's 1533-position model. The record is from RNAcentral. Lineage: Bacteria; Pseudomonadati; Elusimicrobiota; Elusimicrobia.